AAGACUAUACUUUCAGGGAUCAUUUCUAUAGUUUAUAACUUGGAAAGUUGUUCUGAAAGUGUUACGUCUCUCUAUCCACGAUGACGAGUCGAGAUAUUUCUUUCUGAGCGUGAAUCUGAUGGAGAGUGAUGAGUAAAAUCAUCUGUUCUUUAUCAUUGAUGAUGAUCAUUGUUGUGCUUUAGAGUAUAUAUGGGAGUUAUGAGCAGCGUGGU
This is a small nucleolar RNA of 212 nucleotides. Its record names the gene U3. It matches the Rfam family "Small nucleolar RNA U3". Rfam says of the family: Small nucleolar RNAs (snoRNAs) are involved in the processing and modification of rRNA in the nucleolus. There are two main classes of snoRNAs: the box C/D class, and the box H/ACA class. U3 snoRNA is a member of the box C/D class. The record is from Ensembl.